GAUGAACGCUGGCGGCGUGCCUAAUACAUGCAAGUCGAGCGAACGGACGAGAAGCUUGCUUCUCUGAUGUUAGCGGCGGACGGGUGAGUAACACGUGGAUAACCUACCUAUAAGACUGGGAUAACUUCGGGAGACCGGAGCUAAUACCGGAUAAUAUUUUGAACCGCAUGGUUCAAAAGUGAAAGACGGUCUUGCUGUCACUUAUAGAUGGAUCCGCGCUGCAUUAGCUAGUUGGUAAGGUAACGGCUUACCAAGGCAACGAUGCAUAGCCGACCUGAGAGGGUGAUCGGCCACACUGGAACUGAGACACGGUCCAGACUCCUACGGGAGGCAGCAGUAGGGAAUCUUCCGCAAUGGGCGAAAGCCUGACGGAGCAACGCCGCGUGAGUGAUGAAGGUCUUCGGAUCGUAAAACUCUGUUAUUAGGGAAGAACAUAUGUGUAAGUAACUGUGCACAUCUUGACGGUACCUAAUCAGAAAGCCACGGCUAACUACGUGCCAGCAGCCGCGGUAAUACGUAGGUGGCAAGCGUUAUCCGGAAUUAUUGGGCGUAAAGCGCGCGUAGGCGGUUUUUUAAGUCUGAUGUGAAAGCCCACGGCUCAACCGUGGAGGGUCAUUGGAAACUGGAAAACUUGAGUGCAGAAGAGGAAAGUGGAAUUCCAUGUGUAGCGGUGAAAUGCGCAGAGAUAUGGAGGAACACCAGUGGCGAAGGCGACUUUCUGGUCUGUAACUGACGCUGAUGUGCGAAAGCGUGGGGAUCAAACAGGAUUAGAUACCCUGGUAGUCCACGCCGUAAACGAUGAGUGCUAAGUGUUAGGGGGUUUCCGCCCCUUAGUGCUGCAGCUAACGCAUUAAGCACUCCGCCUGGGGAGUACGACCGCAAGGUUGAAACUCAAAGGAAUUGACGGGGACCCGCACAAGCGGUGGAGCAUGUGGUUUAAUUCGAAGCAACGCGAAGAACCUUACCAAAUCUUGACAUCCUUUGACAACUCUAGAGAUAGAGCUUUCCCCUUCGGGGGACAAAGUGACAGGUGGUGCAUGGUUGUCGUCAGCUCGUGUCGUGAGAUGUUGGGUUAAGUCCCGCAACGAGCGCAACCCUUAAGCUUAGUUGCCAUCAUUAAGUUGGGCACUCUAAGUUGACUGCCGGUGACAAACCGGAGGAAGGUGGGGAUGACGUCAAAUCAUCAUGCCCCUUAUGAUUUGGGCUACACACGUGCUACAAUGGACAAUACAAAGGGCAGCGAAACCGUGAGGUCAAGCAAAUCCCAUAAAGUUGUUCUCAGUUCGGAUUGUAGUCUGCAACUCGACUACAUGAAGCUGGAAUCGCUAGUAAUCGUAGAUCAGCAUGCUACGGUGAAUACGUUCCCGGGUCU
RNAcentral lists this ribosomal RNA (1372 nucleotides) under uncultured bacterium. RNAcentral's name for it is "bacterial SSU rRNA". It matches the Rfam family "Bacterial small subunit ribosomal RNA", at positions 28 to 1381 of the family's 1533-position model. The record is from RNAcentral.